UGCAAAGUACCUACACAUCUUCAGAUGG
This 28-nucleotide non-coding RNA is filed under the name Mus musculus (house mouse). The record is from RNAcentral. Lineage: Eukaryota; Metazoa; Chordata; Mammalia; Rodentia; Muridae.